RNAcentral lists this transfer RNA (87 nucleotides) under Chitinophagaceae bacterium. Its description in RNAcentral is "tRNA-Leu". It matches the Rfam family "tRNA". Rfam says of the family: Transfer RNA (tRNA) molecules are approximately 80 nucleotides in length. Their secondary structure includes four short double-helical elements and three loops (D, anti-codon, and T loops). RNAcentral also lists the same sequence under 1 other name. The record is from RNAcentral. Lineage: Bacteria; Pseudomonadati; Bacteroidota; Chitinophagia; Chitinophagales; Chitinophagaceae.
GCCCGGGUGGCGAAACUGGUAGACGCAGCAGACUCAAAAUCUGCCGCCAGCAAUGGUGUAUCGGUUCGAUUCCGAUCUCGGGCACAA